Long non-coding RNA from Pogoniulus pusillus (Red-fronted tinkerbird), 2111 nucleotides. RefSeq lists it as uncharacterized. The record is from RefSeq and is a predicted model, not a curated record. The transcript has 7 exons. Lineage: Eukaryota; Metazoa; Chordata; Aves; Piciformes; Lybiidae.
CGGCAGUGACGCUGAGCCGGCUGCAAUGGAAUGGCCGCGAGCACAGAGCGGCAGGCAGGCAGGCAGGCAGGGUCUUUCGGAGCCAGUCUGCGCCGCGACUAGGCGGGGGGUGCGGUGCGCAAAUGGAGGACGCACGCGUCUCCGCUGCGCCCGGGGGCGUACGCAAAUUGCGUACGCGUGUCCGCCGCGCCUAGGUGCCGUUUUGCGCAGAGAGAGCGGCCGCGGCAGACACACUCAAGAUGUCGACCGCGGGGAGCCACACUCAAGAUGGCAGCCGUGCCAAAGCGGCCUUCCCAUUGGCUGGCCGUGACGCACUCAAUAUGGCGGACACGCGCGCACAAGCGGGCUUCCUAUUGGCUGCCGGGACGCACAGCUCUGGCCGUCGCGGGCGCCACAGUCAAGAUGGCGGCCGCGCGGAAGAUGCCUGCCUGUGAGCUGCCGUGACACGCGGAGCCCUAACCAGGCUCCCUCUUUUGGUGCUGAUGAUGACAGAGUCUGCAUGGACUUGAAUAGAAUUCAGAAGGGUGCUGUGGCUGUUUGUGCCAUCGAUGCAUCUGGCUGCUUCACAGCAGAGGUGGCUGACUUGGCUGGACAGUAUGUGAAGGAUGCAGAUAAGAACAUCACUAAAGUACUGAAAGAGAAAGGCAGACUGGUUCACAGCAGUAGUUUUAAGCACAGCUCUCCUUUCUGCUGGAGUAUGUGACCUUGCCUGAGUUGCCUGCUGUUGUGGUCUUCAAAGAUGGAGCUUCCUUUGUUUCUGAUGCACUGCAGCCUGGCCUGGGGGCGCUGCUGAGGCCCUCACCGAAUCGCCACCGCUCGCCGCAGCCUGUCAGUGGCCAUCUGCAAGCUGGCACUGCCCUCACCGAGUGGGCACUGAUCUCACCAAGAUAGCAUUGAACGCGACGGGUUGGAGGGGACCUUACCAAUAUGGCGCCGAGCGCUAAGCUCUGCAAGAGACCUCACUAAUAUGGCGACAAGCGCGAUAGGCUGAAUGUGACCUUACCAAGAUGGCGCCGAGCGCGACGGUCUCGCUGUGACCUCAUCAAUGCGGCGCCGAAACACCGCAAGCCGGUGGUGACCUUAACAAUAUGGCGCCGCGGGCUGCCGCUGCAGGCAGCAAUCUGACACUGGCCGCGGCCGGCUGGCAAUGCCCUCACCGAGUUGGCACUGCACACGGCAGGCUGACAAUGCCCUCACUGAGUCGCCACCACUCGCCGCAGAGUUGCAGUGACCCUCUGCAAGCUGUCACUACUCUCACCGAGUUGUAGUGACCUCACCAAGAUGGCGCCAAGAGCGACGGACUUGCUGUGACUUCAUCAAUACGGCGCCGAGCGCCACGAGUUGGCUCUGGCCUCAUCCAUACGGCGCCGAAACUCCGCAAGCCGGCGGUGACCUCACCAAUACGGCGCUCAACGCCGCGGUCCUGGCGCUGCCCGCAGCAAGCUGGCAAUGCCCUGACCGAGUCGCCACGGCUCACCGCAGGCUGGCAGUGACCCUCUGCAAGCUGGCACCGCCCCCCGUGAGCUGGCGCUGCCCGCUCCUAGGCUGGCAGUGCCCUCACCACGACGGCGCCGCCGGCAGCGCAGGCUCGGCGGUGACCUCACCAAGAUGGCGCCGACGUCCCGCCUGCGACGCUGACCGCACCAAGGUGGCUCCGGGGGCGGUUCCCGCCAACCCCUCCCCUCUCGCAUGCGCAGAGCGCUCAGGCCUGGCCGCAGGGAGGGGCGCAGGGGACAGAGCCACUCUGAAGGCUGCCCGGGGGGCGUCUGGGCCCCGGAGGUGGGAGCUGAACUGCUUUGCCCCAGCCCAGCUGCAGAUCUGCACUCAGCCUCAGCCCCAAGCCCUGGCAGGGUGGGAUGCUUUGGUACCAGGCCGUGGAGCUGUUUGAAAUGCAAUUGCUGCUUGCAGCUGGUUCAGAAAUGGAUUUCCUGUGGCUGUGGGGGCAGAAAUGUCUCUGUGUCACGCUGAGAACUCUGGGAAGAAGAAAACAUUCUCCAUUUUGUUUCUCACUCUUGCUUUUGCCUUAGACCUGGUCACAUCUCAUUAACCCUGCUCCUACUAACCUUGCUCCCUAACCUCUUGGCUGCACCUCUUUUCUUCCUGAGAACUGG